RNAcentral lists this long non-coding RNA (396 nucleotides) under Homo sapiens (human). Its description in RNAcentral is "non-protein coding lnc-CYP2A6-2:1". The record is from RNAcentral. Lineage: Eukaryota; Metazoa; Chordata; Mammalia; Primates; Hominidae.
AGUUCCCCCUCCAGCCCCUGUGUACUUUCACCAAUCCCCCGACCCUCCUCAUCACACACAACUUCCUCCUCCCUACCAGGGCACCGAAGUGUUCCCUAUGCUGGGCUCCGUGCUGAGAGACCCCAGCUUCUUCUCCAACCCUCAGGACUUCAAUCCCCAGCAUUUCCUGGAUGACAAGGGGCAGUUUAAGAAGAGUGAUGCUUUUGUGCCCUUUUCCAUCGCCUGGUAUUUCUCCAGCUUGGAAGUUCCUGUUAGAAUCUACCCUUGAGCCAGCAGCUGAUACUUCCUUAACUACCAAGCACCCAGUACCUGCACCCAGGAAAGCGGAACUGUUUCGGAGAAGGCCUGGCCAGAAUGGAGCUCUUUCUCUUCUUCACCACCGUCAUGCAGAACUUC